GCCACUUUUCCAGAAGGGCCCGCCAGAGCUCGACUCUUUUUCCAUAUUUCUGCCUGGAGAAUCCCAGUCAAAUGGUUUUGGGGGAGCAAAACAAACAAGGUGCCCAAAAGACCCCCGUUUGGAGCCGCGCUGCGUUUGCGCCAAUGGACGGUUCUAGUCGAGGAAGCCGAAUUGCUGAGUGUUCAUUUGAGAUGGCCGCACCUCGAAAAAGAUUUGGUGGGAAAGGGCAAACAAAAUGACCAAGCGGGUGGGGCGACUUCUCUAUGAAGAAAGGUUGCAGCAUUUCGGACUUUUUAAUUUAGAGAAAAGGCAAGCAAGAGGCGGCAUAAUCGACGUUUACAAAAUCAUGCGUGGCGUAGAGAAAGUGGAGAGAGAGGAGCUUUUCUCCUGCUCUGACAACAGAAGAAUUCAUGGACAUCCAAUGAAGCUGAAUGUUGGAAGAUUCAGGACAGAUAGAAGAAAAUGAGCCUGGGCAGCAAAACCAACGAAGAAUCUUGUAGCACUUUAUAUAGACUAAAGACUAUAUGUAUCUGAUGAGGGAUGCCUGCAGGUUUUGACAGGAAUCACACAAUGAUGGAAUACAAAAGCCAAGGACAAGGAAGGCUUGUAACAACACACAACUUAACCAAAGAUUGACUGGGGGCGGGGUGCUAAGAAUUCCAAAGGCUAACAAUGUGGAGGAUAGGUUACAUGAUGUUACAUGAUGUUCAUUUGAGUAUGUAGUAAAAUGAAACCAGUCACCAAUAACUUUA
This is a long non-coding RNA of Lacerta agilis (Sand lizard), 752 nucleotides long. RefSeq lists it as uncharacterized. Lineage: Eukaryota; Metazoa; Chordata; Lepidosauria; Squamata; Lacertidae. The transcript is spliced from 2 exons. The record is from RefSeq and is a predicted model, not a curated record.